CCUACGGGUGGCAGCAGUGGGGAAUAUUGCACAAUGGGGGGAACCCUGAUGCAGCAAUGCCGCGUGGGUGAAGAAGCACUCCGGUGCGUAAAGCCCUGUCAGCAGGGAAGAAAAUGACAGUACCUGACCAAGAAGCCCCGGCUAACUACGUGCCAGCAGCCGCGGUAAUACGUAGGGGGCAAGCGUUAUCCGGAUUUACUGGGUGUAAAGGGAGCGCAGGCGGUAUGGCAAGUCAGAUGUGAAAACCCAGGGCCCAACCCUGGGACUGUAAUUGAAACUGCCAUACUGGAGUGCCGGAGAGGUAAGUGGAAUUCCUAGUGUAGCGGUGAAAUGCGUAGAUAUCACGCAGAACUCCGAUUGCGAAGGCAGCAUACCGGCGCGCAACUGACGCUCAUGCACGAAAGCGUGGGUAUCGAACAGGAUUAGAUACCCUGGUAGUC
This 440-nucleotide ribosomal RNA is filed under the name uncultured bacterium. RNAcentral's name for it is "partial 16S ribosomal RNA". It matches the Rfam family "Bacterial small subunit ribosomal RNA", at positions 338 to 795 of the family's 1533-position model. The record is from RNAcentral.